RNAcentral lists this transfer RNA (77 nucleotides) under Chloroflexota bacterium. RNAcentral describes it as "tRNA-Met". It matches the Rfam family "tRNA". Rfam says of the family: Transfer RNA (tRNA) molecules are approximately 80 nucleotides in length. Their secondary structure includes four short double-helical elements and three loops (D, anti-codon, and T loops). The record is from RNAcentral. Lineage: Bacteria; Bacillati; Chloroflexota.
GCUUCCUUAGCUCAGUUGGUUAGAGCGUCCGACUCAUAAUCGGUAGGUCGCAAGUUCAAGUCUUGCAGGAAGCACCA